GAGUUCCAGGAGGCCUAGGAACAGGCUUAGGAGCAGGAGGACUUGGAGGAGUACAGAGAGGAGUACCUGGAGGAGGAGCAGGGGGUGUACCAGGAGGAGGAGCAGGGGGUGUACCUGGGGCUGGAGGAUAUUAUCCCGCUGCAGCCAAAGCUGCUAAAUAUGGUAAGAAAAAUGUACAUUGGUUGAAUUCAUGGUGAAAUUUCUGUACAUUUUGGUACAUUAUCAAAUUUCUGUACAUUACCAUGUGUCAACUCAUGACUCGCCCUCUCCUGUGUUAUAGGUCAGGGGGCUGCUGGUGGGCCAGGGGGUGGAUAUGGUGGCGUGCCUGCUGGAGGAUAUCCCAGGCCUGGGGGCUAUGGGGGGUAUGGAGGGGCAGGAGCUGGAGGGUAUAAUCCUGCUGCGGCCAAAGCUGCUAAAUAUGGUAAGAAGAAGAGUAAUAUGUCUACUAUAUCUUAAGCAGUUCUGAAUGGAGACAUUAUUUCAAAAUAAUAAAAUGUUCUUCUUGUGGAGUCCCAGGAGCUGGAGGAGCAGGCCUAGGAGCUGGAGGAGCAGGCCUAGGAGGAGCAGGAGGAGUACCAGGGCCUGGGGCUGGACCAGGAUAUGGAGGCUAUGGAGGAUAUGGAGGGGUACCAACAGGAGGGGCUGCUGCUGCGGCCAAAGCUGCUAAAUAUGGAGUACCAGGAGGUGCAGGAGCAGGCCUUGGAGCUGGAGGACUUGGAGGAGUACCAGGGGCUGGAGGAUAUAACCCUGCAUUGGCCAAAGCGGCUAAAUAUGGUAAAAUCCCUCAAAACAAUCAAUCUUAUUCAGUGUUGGUACAUUGGUUGAAUUUACGUCCAUCUUUGGCUUUUUAAAUUGUGGUGUAACAAACCUACUGUAUCUUUGGCAGUUCUGAAGUUGGACAGUCCAUUCAAAAUCAAAUUGUUUUCUUGUGGUCCUCUACCACAGGAGUCCCCGGAGGUGCAGGAGCAGGCAUAGGAGCUGGAGGAGCAGGAGGAUUACCAGGAGGAGGAGCAGGGGGUGUACCUGGGGCUGGAGGAUAUUAUCCCGCUGCAGCCAAAGCAGCUAAAUAUGGUAAGAUCACUCAUCAGAGUUGGUAUAUUGGUUGAAUUCAUGCUCAUUCAUGUUGGUUUUGAAAUCAUAUAUUUUCCUUGUGAACCUCUACACAGGAGUCCCAGGAGGUGUAGGAACAGGCCUAGGAGCAGGAGGACUUGGAGGAAGAGGACAGGGAGGAGUACCUGGACAAGUAGGAGCUGGAGGUACGUCAGAGGAUGUGUAUGAAUGGUAAAGACAUCAGAAAGAGCUCAAACAGUAUCAUGGUCUAGUCUGUCUUUCUAUGCGAUAUC
Molecule: long non-coding RNA, 1343 nt
Filed under: Salmo trutta (river trout)
Lineage: Eukaryota; Metazoa; Chordata; Actinopteri; Salmoniformes; Salmonidae
Description: lncRNA (ENSSTUG00000047141.1)
Source: RNAcentral